RNAcentral lists this ribosomal RNA (305 nucleotides) under uncultured bacterium. Its description in RNAcentral is "bacterial SSU rRNA". It matches the Rfam family "Bacterial small subunit ribosomal RNA", at positions 337 to 659 of the family's 1533-position model. The record is from RNAcentral.
CCCUACGGGAGGCAGCAGUGGGGGAUAUUGCACAAUGGGGGGAACCCUGAUGCAGCGACGCCGCGUGGGUGAAGAAGCGCCUCGGCGCGUAAAGCCCUUUCAGCAGGGAAGAAAAUGACGGUACCUGAAGAAGAAGCCCCGGCUAACUACGUGCCAGCAGCCGCGGUAAUACGUAGGGGGCAAGCGUUAUCCGGAUUUACUGGGUGUAAAGGGGGCGCAGACGGCGAUGCAAGCCAGGAGUGAAAGCCCGGGGCCCAACCCCGGGACUGCUCUUGGAACUGCGUGGCUGGAGUGCUGGAGGGGAG